GGGGGCUUUUUCGCGGCCGCCCCGUGAGGCACCUGCCCAAGCGCCGC
Molecule: non-coding RNA, 47 nt
Filed under: unclassified sequences
Source: RNAcentral